UAAUGCCUUGCCUAUAAAGCACAUUAGCUUGGCAUUCAGAGAAAAAAAAGGGAGAAAAAAUCUGAAACUCAAGAAUGGCUAAGAAUUUUAUAGAAAACUACUGUUCCAUUGGAUUUUUUUUUCUAUAAUUCUUGAGGUUUUGAAUAUCCGAAGCAAUCUCUGAUUCACAUGGGGUUGAGGAUGGUUUAAUUUGGUUUUUGAAAGCUGAUUCUGGGCUGAAUUUGUGUUGGGAGUCCUGAUUUAUAAUUUUCUUAGCUCCCCUUGCCUAGCUAUUAUUCCUGAAAGAUCACAAGUACUUAUCUGGGUUGAAGAUGGUCUGCUUUUGGUUUUUUAAAACUGAUUUUGAACUACUGAGAGACUAUUGUUUCAUUGCUGCUGCUGACACUGUCCUGUUAUUGCUGAUCUUUUUCCUUUUCUGUCAUUUUGCUUUCCAGGUAUUCUCAAACACCAUGGACAUCACUUAAGUAUAUUUGAAGUUUGGAAUCUGAAAAUUGAUCAAGAACCGCAGAUGUUCACAUUGAAUCUUAGUCGUUUCCUUUCAAUUUCAUGUACGCUUGUAAUAUUUAUCAUUAGAAAUGUUUUGACUCGUAAAUAGAGCAUGAGCUGAUUGUCACAGCAUAAAACUGAAGUUUUGAGUGAUUUGAUUUUCUUGUUUAGCAUCAGUCGUGUUGAAAAUAGCUAUGGGUGAGAGAAGUAUCUUUGUUGGUAAUGGUAAUAACACUUUGACUGGUUUGAAUAGUUGGCUAGUGUUUGAAUGAUAUAUAAUUAAGUUUGGUCAAGGUUAAAGUCCAGCAUGUUUAGUUAUGAUUUGGUAUAAUAAUUAGAAUGAGACAUAAAGCCAAAUAAUGUUGCCUUGUAUUUGAAUGAGAC
Molecule: long non-coding RNA, 870 nt
Filed under: Nicotiana tabacum (common tobacco)
Lineage: Eukaryota; Viridiplantae; Streptophyta; Magnoliopsida; Solanales; Solanaceae
Description: long non-coding RNA (NTAB_LNC006849)
Source: RNAcentral